AAUCUUCCGCAAUGGACGAAAGUCUGACGGAGCAACGCCGCGUGAGCGAUGAAGGCCUUCGGGUCGUAAAGCUCUGUUGUCAGGGAAGAACAAGUACCGGAGUAACUGCCGGUACCUUGACGGUACCUGACCAGAAAGCCACGGCUAACUACGUGCCAGCAGCCGCGGUAAUACGUAGGUGGCAAGCGUUGUCCGGAAUUAUUGGGCGUAAAGCGCGCGCAGGCGGUUCCUUAAGUCUGAUGUGAAAGCCCCCGGCUCAACCGGGGAGGGUCAUUGGAAACUGGGGAACUUGAGUGCAGAAGAGGAGAGCGGAAUUCCACGUGUAGCGGUGAAAUGCGUAGAGAUGUGGAGGAACACCAGUGGCGAAGGCGGCUCUCUGGUCUGUAACUGACGCUGAGGCGCGAAAGCGUGGGGAGCGAACAGGAUUAGAUACCCUGGUAGUCCACGCCGUAAACGAUGAGUGCUAAGUGUUAGAGGGUUUCCGCCCUUUAGUGCUGCAGCAAACGCAUUAAGCACUCCGCCUGGGGAGUACGGCCGCAAGGCUGAAACUCAAAGGAAUUGACGGGGGCCCGCACAAGCGGUGGAGCAUGUGGUUUAAUUCGAAGCAACGCGAAGAACCUUACCAGGUCUUGACAUCCUCUGACAACCCUAGAGA
RNAcentral lists this ribosomal RNA (655 nucleotides) under Bacillus sp. (in: firmicutes). Its description in RNAcentral is "bacterial SSU rRNA". It matches the Rfam family "Bacterial small subunit ribosomal RNA", at positions 360 to 1006 of the family's 1533-position model. Lineage: Bacteria; Bacillati; Bacillota; Bacilli; Caryophanales; Bacillaceae. The record is from RNAcentral.